AAGCGUUGUUCGGAUUUAUUGGGCGUAAAGCGCGUGUAGGCGGGUUCUUAAGUCUGAUGUGAAAGCCCUGGGCUCAACCCAGGAAGUGCAUUGGAUACUGGGAGACUUGAAUACGGGAGAGGGUAGUGGAAUUCCUAGUGUAGGAGUGAAAUCCGUAGAUAUUAGGAGGAACACCGGUGGCGAAGGCGGCUACCUGGACCGAUAUUGACGCUGAGACGCGAAAGCGUGGGGAGCAAACAGG
RNAcentral lists this ribosomal RNA (241 nucleotides) under uncultured bacterium. RNAcentral describes it as "partial 16S ribosomal RNA". It matches the Rfam family "Bacterial small subunit ribosomal RNA", at positions 536 to 776 of the family's 1533-position model. The record is from RNAcentral.